UGGGGAAUAUUGCACAAUGGGCGGAAGCCUGAUGCAGCGACGCCGCGUGGGGGAUGACGGCCUUCGGGUUGUAAACCUCUUUCGACAGGGACGAAGCCUCUUGGGGUGACGGUACCUGUAUAAGAAGCACCGGCUAACUACGUGCCAGCAGCCGCGGUAAUACGUAGGGUGCGAGCGUUGUCCGGAAUUACUGGGCGUAAAGAGCUCGUAGGUGGUUUGUCGCGUCGUCUGUGAAAUUCCGGGGCUUAACCUCGGGCGUGCAGGCGAUACGGGCAAUACUUGAGUGCUGUAGGGGAGACUGGAAUUCCUGGUGUAGCGGUGAAAUGCGCAGAUAUCAGGAGGAACACCGAUGGCGAAGGCAGGUCUCUGGGCAGUAACUGACGCUGAGGAGCGAAAGCAUGGGUAGCGAACAGGAUUAGAUACCCUGGUAGUCCAUGCCGUAAACGGUGGGCGCUAGGUGUAGGGGUCUUCCACGACUUCUGUGCCGUAGCUAACGCAUUAAGCGCCCCGCCUGGGGAGUACGGCCGCAAGGCUAAAACUUAAAGGAAUUGACGGAUCGUAGC
This 563-nucleotide ribosomal RNA is filed under the name uncultured Corynebacterium sp. RNAcentral's name for it is "bacterial SSU rRNA". It matches the Rfam family "Bacterial small subunit ribosomal RNA", at positions 355 to 924 of the family's 1533-position model. The record is from RNAcentral. Lineage: Bacteria; Bacillati; Actinomycetota; Actinomycetes; Mycobacteriales; Corynebacteriaceae.